Molecule: long non-coding RNA, 9271 nt
Filed under: Citrus x clementina
Lineage: Eukaryota; Viridiplantae; Streptophyta; Magnoliopsida; Sapindales; Rutaceae
Description: Citrus clementina (C. clementina) long non-coding RNA (CCLE_LNC002011)
Source: RNAcentral
GAAAUUGGCACUGGAACCUUUUUAGACCGCAUCGUUAUUAGCUCAUCUCCUGCUCGUCCCUCAGUUGAUCCAUGCCCAAGGUGUGGCGAGAACUCGAGGGAUAAUGGUGUCAUCCUAUCCUGCAUUGAUUGUUUUCUUGACGGUGGCAAGCUCUACCUCUUUGAGUAUUAUGUCCCAGCGGCAGCCUUUCUCGCCAAACCUCGAGGGGGGACUUGCACCACUGCCAAGUCCGACCCUCCAGAAGAGGUGAUCCACCGUGCUACUUUCCUCCUUGAGAACGGUUUUGGUGACUACAACGUGUUCAAGAACAACUGUGAGGACUUCUCAAUCUACUGUAAAACGGGUCUUCUUGUAACAACUGUCCUCAGUGUUGGUCGGAGCGGGCAGGCGACAUCCUUGUUUGCCGCUGUAAGCACUGCUGUUUCUUUACCACUCCGAUAUUUGAUUGCCGGCUACACUGGCGGGACAGUUUUCGGCUAUGGUUUGUAUUGUGCUAACCGAUAUGCUUCUGAUAUUGGAGUGCGUCGUGAUGCGGCUAGAGUCCCAGUUGAGAGUCUUGUUCGCCGCUGAUACUUACUACCAGCUGCAGCGGCCUGGUGGGUGUGGUGAUAUGGUAUGUAUUGUGUUAGCAGAUAUGUUUCUGAUUUUGGGAGUACGGCGUGAUGUGGUUAAAGUCCUAGUUGAGAGGCUUGUUGGUCAUCCUAUCUUUGAACCAUGCUAGUCUUGCGUCUGAUGAUAUUUGCCAGAGAAUAAUGAGUUUUUCACUCCAGAUUAUUUUUUUUGUUGGGUGCUGUCUUUUUUCUUUGUAUGAUUGUAUCAAGACGUGUCUCAUUACUCAACUGGGUCCUCAUAGAUGUAGAAUUAUGAUUUAAAAGAUGUACCCUGGAUAUUUAUAGGACUCGGAAAUGUGUGUUGAUAUUAUAUUACAAGGAUGCAGUUUAAUUAAAGUUCAACUUGAAAAUAUGCUUUAAUGGAGAUGAACUCAUGAAUAAAUAAAAAACACACGAGGAAACUUGAACUUCAUUAAGUGAAAUCUAAUCAUCCAUCCAAUUGCAUAUUGAUGGAACGUCAGACAAGCAAGUUACAGUUUUAUUCUAAGCCAAAGAAUGGUUUAUCUAAAUUUUUUGAUUACAUACGAUUUUUCUUAUCUCCUCUCUUGAUCAAUAACCUCAAAUCAAAAUUGCUUUUCCCAUGCUAUGUUAAAAGCUUGCUGUAUGUGUAUAAGUUUUUUUUUUUUUUUUUAAAAGCUGUAUUUGCAUGGUCAGUUAAGAAUAACUAAAAAUUAAUAUAAUUUUGGUAGAAGGAUAAAAUAGCAGAUGUAAAAGUGGAACUUGUGAAGAACAAAAGAGGGGUUUUAGUAACACCACUUUAGAAGAAAUCUGCUACGAAGCCCACUAGCAAACCAAACCAGUCCAAAAAAAUCUAUUAGCCCAAAGAACUGAAGAUAUCAAAUUGUGAAAAUUGAAACUGAAAAAGCGUUAAUAAAAUAAAAGAGACUCCUAGUUGAAACAGUGAAAGAGAGAUAAAGUGCACAUAAUUUUAUAUAUUUUUAGGAUCAGCAAGCAUGACAAACAGCUCACUGUUUAGUCAAGUAAAAUUUUGAAUUUGUUAUAAUAUUUUAAAUGAAAUCUCCUUUUAGUAAAACAAAAUAUUAAUAAUAAUAACAAAAAUAACGAGAACUAAAUUUCAAAUUAAAAUUUGAAAUUUAAAACUUGUAAAUUGUAAUUAAUAAACGAGUAAUGUAUUUUGCUUGUAAUUCUUAAAAACCCCUUGGUAGUUAGUAGUAAUUACCCUCACGCCAAAUACGUUAAUGUUCAAAAUAAAAUUAAAUUAAAGAUUAAAAAUUAAAAUUCCUUUCAGUUUCAGAUUAAAGAAAGCAAAAUAACGAAGGAAGAAGAGACCAGAGAGCCUUACAAGCAAAGGAAACGAUUAGCGCCUCUCUCUCUCUCUCUCUCUCUCUCUCUCUCUCUUGUUUCUUUGUGGUCUUACGAAGAGAGAGAAACAAGCACGUUGGGUGGAAUGGGUUUGUUCUCAAAUAAGAUCAAGAGAGAGGAGCUCAAAGCUGGCGAUCACAUUUAUUCUUGGCGAAACGCCUACGUUUAUGCCCAUCACGGUUGUUUCUUUUUUCUUUUCUUAAUAGAAACUGUUGUGAUUCUCUCCUAGUGCUAAUCCGUCAGUUUAAUCACUUAUCUAUUGGGUUACUUUUGGUUACAUUUGAAUUGCAUUUGAAUAAGCUAAUAGUUUAUUUUAAGUAGUUAAUUGUCAUUAGGGAGGUUAUGUUUGAAUUAUUUUUUAGUCAUUUUUCACUUCCAAGUUUUUAUCAAGAACUAAAUCUUGACCUUUAAUACUUUCUCAAGAUGUAUGAUGGCAGUUGGGUUUUCAUCAAUUUUGGAUUUUGAAAUUUACCCUGGGAAAUUUUAUGUUUGUUAAUUUUUAUUUUGGUUGACAUGUUUCUUAUAAUUAUUGGAAUUUAGUAGGUGAAGGCGUGAAGCUCUGACUUUAAGCUGUAUUGGCUUGGUGUUUUUAUGUGUAUUUUUACUCUUUAUUUCUAUGGAUUUCUUGCACUUAUGUUGAAUCAUAAACCUGCUUUGCCUUAGGUUUAUGUGAAAAAAUGUUGGUGGACUUGUUAUCUGUGUGUUAUUUUAGACUUGAUUGAGUAUUAUUCAGAUGGAUUAAGGGUACAAUUGUCAGUAUAGCAAGUUGUCUUCACAAUUGCAGUUUGGAAAAGUGUAUUGAUUAUUUGGAAGUAAAGAAGACUUUGAAUUUUGCUUGUUUCCGGUUUGGAGAAUUUUCCUUGUGAUAGAUAUUAGUCAAAACCAUGUUGUCAUUAAUGGCAUAGAUGAACUUCAGUGGUAUACGGACAUGCCUAUUUUCAAUUUUAAGAGUGCUAAAAUCUCAGUUUUAUCUCUUGCUCUCUAUGGGUUUCACACCCAUGUAGUUUGAAUUGUAUACGUGAAUAUCUAUUGUGUAUUUGAGAUCGUUGAACUGUGACCCAAAUAUGAAGUUUUGAAGUACUGAGUGACUCAAAUUAAAUAAUUGGUUAUGUCAAAUGAAAAGCAGCAACUGUAGAACACAAGCCACAAAGACUAAUGCUUCUUUUCCAAUUUAGACUAUUGAUUGAACUUAUCACAACUUUCUUAAUUUUGACAACGUUUGGUGGAGUCUAGUUGCACUUCUCCUAAAUCUAAUACUUAGAAGGAUUCUUUAUUUUCAUGAGAUGUUUCGUUCAAGUAAUUGUUGAUUCAGUCUUCCUACUGAACCUGAUAUGGACAGUGCAGAUAUUUUUCCUCAAACAGAAUAUACCUUCAUUGGUUGGUAAUUAGACUAUUCAAUUCACUUUCAUGGACAAACUUUUAAAUAUCAUGUGCAAGCUGCAUUGUAUGUACCAAUCAGCAAGUGAAAUUUUGAAAAACCUUUUAGCAUAGGAUUAUAAGAUUCAAUAAUAGUUUUGCCAACUUACACUUCCAAUAUGAACCAGGAGUAUAUGUUGGUGAUGGAAUGGUGAUCCAUUUCACUCGGGGAGCAGGUCAGGAAAUUGGCACUGGAACUGUUUUAGACCGUAUCAUUUUUAGUUCAUCUCCUGCUCGUCCUUCAGAUAAUCCAUGUCCCAGGUGUGGUGAUUACUGGAGGGAUGAUGGAGUCAUCCUAUCCUGCAUUGACUGUUUUCUUUACGGUGGGGAGCUUUACCUCUUUGAGUAUGAUGUCUCACCAGCUCUCUUUCUCGCCAAACCUCGAGGAGGGACUUGCACACUUGCCAAAUCUGAUCCACCAGAAGAUGUCGCCCAUCGUGCCAAUUUCCUCCUCCAGAAUGGUUUUGGUGUCUACCAUGUGUUCAGGAACAACUGUGAGGACUUUGCAAUCUACUGUAAAACAGGUCUUCUUGUGAUAACUAGCCUCAGCGUUGGUCGGAGUGGGCAGGCAGCAUCCUUGCUAGCUGCUGUAAGUGCUGUUGUUUCUUCACCGCUCCGAUACUUGACUACCAGCUGCACUGGCCUGGCAGCAGUGGGUUAUGGAAUGUAUUGUGUUAGCCGAUUGGUUUCUGAUAUUGGAGUACGACGUGAUGUGGCUAGAGUCCCCGUUGAGAGGCUUGUUGCCCAUCCUAGUUUAGACGAUGCAAGUCUGGCAUCUGAUAAUAACGCCAAAGAAGGAUGAUAUAUUGACUCCCAAUUAUCUUUUUGGAUGUGUCUUUUGUUGUUGUAUUAAGUGUCUCAUUGAUCAUUGGAUGUAUCUUUGUUGUACUAAGUGUCUCAUUGGUCAAUUGGGUCCUUCAAAACGUAGAAAUAUGCUCUUCAUUGUAAUGGGAUAUUUAUUUGUAUCCAUUAGCCUCACUCCUGACUUCUGUUUAAAACUAGAAUAUGAGUUUUUUUUUUUUUAAUAUUACAUUACAAUGAUACAGCUCAAUCAAAACCCAGCUUGAUAAUUUGCUCCAAUAAACGAACCCUUGAGAUGAGAAGGUGACAAUCUCCAAGUCUCAGGAGCGGUUACUGGUUGAGCUGUAAUUCACAGUUUCACAUACACAUAAUUUUUCUUGUAUCCUCUCUUAAUCAGUCACCUUAAUCGAAAAUUACUUCUUCUUAUUACCACUACUACACUAUCUUGCUAGUGGGACACCUUUUUUUCUAUUUUUUUUGCCAGAAUAUAGAUGUGUUUUUUUUUUUUUUUUUUGUUCAACUAAGUCUAAGAAGAUAAAAAUCCUAAUUUUUGUAACAUAAUAAAAAAAAUCAAAACUAAGAUAGAGAAAACAUUAAAGUGAAAUUUUGGAGCAAGGGAGGCUGAAACUCUUGGCAUCCGAGAGGCCCUUAGUUGGCUUAAAGGAUUGCAGUUUCCUUGUGUUAUUCUAGAGACGGAUUGCUCACGAGUGUUCCAAGCUUUAGUUGAGCAGUUUUCGAGGCCUAAUGGUUUUGGGUUAAUAAUUGAUGAAUGUCGAGCUUUACCUAUGUCUAUAGGAGAGUGCAAUUCUCAUUUGUGCGUCGAUCUGCGAACCUACCUGCUCACUUUAUUGCAAGAACAGGAGGUUCUAUGUCAGGUGCUCAAGAAUUAAAUUUUGUUCCACCUUUGAGGUUAUUAAACAGUUUGUAAUUCGCUUUGUUUAAUGAAAUUGCUUUCCUUAAAAAAAAAAAAACAUUAAAGUGAAAUUAGUUUUAGAUGUGACGUCCAAUAUCUAGCUUAAUUAAUUACAAAUAUAUUGUUAGACAUUUUUUGAAAAUAUUUUGAUGGGUCGUGUUAAAGGGUUUGGCCAACACAUGGCACGUUAUCCGUUUAAUAAUUCUUUCAUUAAUUUGAUAAAUGGAUUAAGAAUAUAAACUUUAAUACGAUAAAAAAAAUGUUGAUUCGAAAACAAUUCAUUUAAUAAUUUUGGAUUUUUUAUUUGUGUCACAUUAUAUUGAGAUAUUUUACCGAGAAUUGACCUAAGUGAGUUUUCCUAGAAUUCUACUUGUGAAAAUAUAUCAAUAGAAUCGUAAAAGGGAAUUCUGCCGGUUGAAAAAAAAAUGUAAAAGAGACAAUAAAAAUUUGAAAUCAUAACUGAAAUUAGCCGUCGUCCGUCACCACCCUAGCUCCGGUGUCACCGUUUGGUAGGCAAAGUGGUGUUGGGUACUCCUUCAGAGUUAUUGUUAUUAUUUUCAGCCUUUGGAGAUUUUAUUUUGUGGUUGUUUGUUUAUUUAAUUUUAUUUUUUUGGCUGAUGGGAAGCAAUUUAAACAAUUUAAAUAAGUUUGCUUUUUAAUUUGAGGAGUUUAUAUGUUAUGAUUGCACAUUGGUUGCGGCUAGGAAUUUGGUUCUUUCCUUGUUGCAUUCUUUUUUGCUAUGAUUCAAAACGUUUUCUCUUGUAGGAACUUUCAGAGAUAGAGAGAAAGGAAAAAAAAUUAAAGACGAUUGUAGUAAGUAGCCGACAGAUGGAGUCUCUUUCUUGCAUUACAGGUUACUUGGCUAUACUAUUAUACUCCUUCCAAAUUAUUAUUAUUAUUAUUAUUAUUAUUUGAUGUUUAGUUUGCUAAUAUAAUUGCUGGGUUUGUUAAUUCCCCAGACAAGAAUUCGUUUCUGCACUGUAAUAAGAAAAUAAAAAGAGAGAUUGUGAGUGAAGAUUAUACUUGCGUUCAUGAUCGCCUCAGUGAACUCUCUGAUCAUGUUCUUGUAAAUGUCUUAUCUUGCUUGACUAUACAAGAAGCAGCAAGGACCAGCAUACUAUCAAGUAGAUGGAGAUAUUUAUGGAAGUGGUUUACUGGUUGUUUGAACUUUCACAAUUCACUCACAACGGCGGCCCAUAAAUUUGAAUUGAGAGAUGAUAAGGUGUUUGAUGUAGAAAGGCGCAAGUUUGUGAGUUGGGUCAAUCAAGUUUUAAGAUCACUUCAAAGUCGCACCAUGGAAGAGUUAAGGAUUCGUUUUGAUGUAACCUCUGACGAUGAUAUACAUAAUUGGAUCAAAUUUGCAGUAGAAAAGAAAGUUGGAAGGCUUGAGUUGAACUUUAGAAGAUUUCUGGCUGGUCGUUGGGAAGUUGGCCAAUACAAUUUUCCACCACAUUUUGUUAGUUAUUCCAGCUUCUGUUCUCUUACAGAAUUAAGUUUGAUAAAUGUAGCUAUAACAGGAGAUGUUCUUGCACAUUUGCUGUCUUACUGCCCCCUUCUUGAGGUUUUAAGUGUUAUUCAAUCAGUAUGUCUGAAGCAUCUUAAAGUUUCUGGUUCGUUACUGAAGCUGAAGUACUUAAAGUUAGGUUAUUUGGAGUGUCUUGAAAUUGAUGCCCCGAAUCUCAUAUCUUUUGAAUUUAACGGACCAGCAAAGCCUAUUUGUUUAGGAAAAGUUCGUCUUGUUGAGGUAUCUUUUGGUGGCUCUUUUAGCAACUACAUCAUGAAAAACCUAUGCUGGCUUUCAAGUUUUCUUGUGCGAUUGCAUACUCUUAAAUUGAACCUAGCUUUGCCAGUAAGUGUGCCUUACCUUUAUAUUCACUGCAAUUGUCAUUGAUUCUUUGGCCUUAAAAUUUUGUUGGUGUUGAUGUGUUUUUGUUUCUUAUUUUAUCAAGUGGAAGGUGUAUCCAGUACCUGAGGUGGCCGUCUAUUAUAAUCUUCCUGAGUUAUAUAAUCUGAAGCAUUUGGAGAUGGAAAUAGAUUUAUUAGAUGAUGAUCACCUCCUUCCUUGUGCAUCUUUCUUGAAUGCAGCUACUUCAUUAUAUAAGUUUACACUGAAGGUAAUUUUUUUCUUGAUUUCUUGAUGAAUAAUGUUUUUCAUAACAUAGAUGUGCUUUUAGUUUUAAUGGUGCAGAAUAUAAUCAUUGCGUUUAUAUUUUGGGAAUAUUUUGUUGACAUGACUGUCUUUGCCCUUGGUCUCAGUUAUAUGAUGUAAAGCCAUUUGCUGAAUGGGUACAGACUAUCAAGGAUCACAUAUAUUCAAGUCUUAGUGAAUUAAUAAGCAUUAGGGAGUUGGAAGUGGUAGGAUUGGAAGGGUGUGGAGCUGAUACGGAUUUUGUGAUAUGUUUGAUUGAGAAUGCUGAACUGUUGGAGAAGAUAAUUAUUGAUCCUUGUAAAACAUGGAUUCUGGGAACUCCUUAUGAAUCUAGUUACAGGGAAUGUGCUGAAUAUCAAUCCAACAGAAGGCAAGCUAUUCAGUUGGCAGCAAGACUUCCUUUAUGGGAAUUUGUCAUACUGUAGAUAAAUAAAUUAUUGUGAAUUAUUGAUUGGAGUGCGAUCUGUCGUUAUUGGUAAUUUUUAUCAUUAGAUUGGAAAUGAACAAAACCCCAUUGUUUUCAUUUUCUAGUUACUGCUAUUAACGGAAUUAAUGCUGAGCAUGGUACUUUCUAAUGGUAAGUUGAUGAAAGUGUCACAAUAUUUAUUAUUUAAUUUGCUUUUACGAGUGCUAUAUGUAUAUAUAUAUAUAGCUAAGCCGCACGGUUUAAUAGCAUUAAUAAUUAUUAUAUUGUUAAAUUACUCGGGUUAAUAUUUUUUCGGACUUCAACAAAAUCUAAAAUUCUAUAUUAGAAUAUUUCUCUCUCUAUAUAUAUAUAUAUAUAUAUGAAGCAGAGGAAAAGAGAAGAAGAAACAUUUGCUUAGUCUGUAUAGUAGUCUGUAUAGUAGCCCGCGUAAAGUCAAAAACUGCAGAACAUCACAAUUUCAAAUUUAACACUCAAACUAAAAUGUAGUUAGAAAAUUUCAUAGAAUACUAAAACUGGUUUCAAAAAUUGAGCUGAAGAUGUAAUCUGAGACAAUAUUUGGAUGGUCAGUCUAGCACAAUUCUCUGACCGCCGCAAAGACUUCAGUAGUGAACAGACAUGCCUAUUUUCAAUUUUAAGAGUGCUAAAAUCUCAGUUUUAUCUCUCUUCCUUUCUAAAGGUUUUACGUUUUACACCGAUGUAGUUUAAAUUUCACAUGUGAAUAUCUAUUUUGUAUCUGAGAUCGUUGAACUGUGACCCAAAUAUGAAGUUUCGAAAUACUGAGUGAUUCAAAUUAAAUAAUUGGUUAUGUCAAAUGAAAGGCGGCAACCGUAGAACACAAGCCACAAAGGCUGAUGCUUCUUUUCCAAUCUAGACUAUAUAUUGAACUUAUCACAACUUUCCUAAUUUUGACAACUUUUGGUGGAGUCUAGUUGCACUGCUCCUAAAUCUAAUACUUAGAAGGAUUCUUUAAUUCCAUGAGAUGCUUUGUUCAAGUAAUUUUUUAUUAGUCUUCCUACUGAACCUGAUAUGGACAGUGCAUAUAUUUUUCCUCAAACAUAAUAUACCUUCAUUGGUUGGUAAUUAGACUAUUCAAUUCACUUUCAUAGGCAAACUUUUAAAUAUCAUGUGCAAGCUGCGUUGUAUAUACCAAUCAGCAAGUGAAAAUUUGAAAAACCUUUUAGCAUAGAAUUAUAAGAUUCAAUAAUAAUUUUGCUAACUUACGCUUCCAAUAUGAACCAGGAGUAUACGUCGGUGAUGGAAUGGUGAUCCAUUUCACUCGGGAAGCAGGUCAGGAAAUUGGCACUGGAACUGUUUUAGACCGUAUCAUUUUUAGUUCAUCUCCUGCUCGUCCUUCAGAUAAUCCAUGUCCCAGGUGUGGCGAUUACUGGAGGGAUGACGGAGUCAUCCUAUCCUGCAUUGACUGUUUUCUUUACGGUGGUGAGCUUUACCUCUUUGAGUAUGAUGUCUCACCAGCUCUCUUUCUCGCCAAACCUCGAGGAGGGACUUGCACACUUGCCAAAUCUGAUCCACCAGAAGAUGUCGUCCAUCGUGCCAAUUUCCUCCUCCAGAAUGGUUUUGGUGUCUACCAUGUGUUCAAUAACAACUGUGAGGACUUUGCAAUCUACUGUAAA